UGUAAUAUUAUAUCACCCUGCAGCCCACGACCAGUUAUUUACUGAAGCUAAGCAGGGCUGAGCCUGGUCAGUACCUGGAUGGGAGACGACAUUCUUAUCUAGGUUGCUGUUGGAA
Molecule: ribosomal RNA, 115 nt
Filed under: Danio rerio (zebrafish)
Lineage: Eukaryota; Metazoa; Chordata; Actinopteri; Cypriniformes; Danionidae
Source: RNAcentral